Long non-coding RNA from Choloepus didactylus (southern two-toed sloth), 342 nucleotides. RefSeq lists it as uncharacterized. The record is from RefSeq and is a predicted model, not a curated record. Lineage: Eukaryota; Metazoa; Chordata; Mammalia; Pilosa; Megalonychidae. The transcript has 3 exons.
AUAGAAAUGGGCCCAUCCAGUGUCUGCCCAGCCGCUGGCCCUCUGAUGGGCUCGAUUUCCCAGCGGCCUCACCGUCUUGGGCACUGAAGAGCCGGCCCUGACAACGAGGCUCGUCCCAGGCACAGCAGCAGAAAUUUAGCAAGGAAUGAGACAGAUAUGGUCCCUGUCUUCCUGGGAGCUUCCAAUCCAGAAGAGGAAACUGGGCCCGGAGAGGGCGAUGCGUCUCACACCAGCCACUUCUGCUCCAGGCCAUCCCUUUCCGGCUGUUCCUGCUGCUUCAAAGCACGGGGCGUGGAGAUGAGAGGAGCGCAGCUCGAACAAUAGCCAACUUGCCUAAGACCC